RNAcentral lists this ribosomal RNA (463 nucleotides) under uncultured bacterium. RNAcentral describes it as "partial 16S ribosomal RNA". It matches the Rfam family "Bacterial small subunit ribosomal RNA", at positions 28 to 507 of the family's 1533-position model. The record is from RNAcentral.
GAUGAACGCUGACAGAAUGCUUAACACAUGCAAGUCUUUGGCGAAUCUGUGCUUGCACAGGCUAGCCAAGGCGGACGGGUGAGUAACGCGUAAAGAACUUGCCCUGCAGACAGGGAUAACAGACGGAAACGACUGAUAACACCUGAUACAGUUGCCGGCACGCAUGUGCCUGGCAAUGAAAAGAGAUGCUGCAGGAGAGCUUUGCGUCCUAUUAGCUUGUUGGUGAGGUGACGGCUCACCAAGGCGAUGAUAGGUAGCCGGCCUGAGAGGGUGAACGGCCACAAGGGGACUGAGAUACGGCCCUUACUCCUACGGGAGGCAGCAGUGGGGAAUAUUGGACAAUGGGGGCAACCCUGAUCCAGCAAUUCUGUGUGCACGAAGAAGGUUUUCGGAUUGUAAAGUGCUUUCAGCAGGGAAGAAGAAAGUGACGGUACCUGCAGAAGAAGCGACGGCUAACUACGUG